AUUUAUAUGUUAUAUUGCGUAUAUUAGUACUCUUACCAAGCAUUCUUCGGAAUGUUUUGUGUUGAAACUGAAUAUAUCAUGCUGAUCGUAUGGUCUUGUACCGACGACAUGUCAUUCAAGUGUCUGAUCUAUCAACUUUCUAUAUAAGUAUAUAGUACUUAUAUGGUUUUGACGGAUAACGGGGUAUUAGGGUACGACUCCGGAGAAAAUGCCUGAGAAACGGCGUUUACAUCCAAGGAAGGCAGCAGGCGCGAAAAUUACCCACUCUCAGUACGAGGAGGUAGUGACGAGAAAUGACAAGAUCUAUUCCUUCGGGGAUGGAUCAUUGGAAUGGUUUGAUUUUAAAAUCAUUAAAGAGUAUCAAUGAGAGGGCAAGUCUGGUGCCAGCAGCCGCGGUAAUUCCAGCUCUCAUACUGCAUUGAAUUGUUGUUGCGGUUAAAAAGCUCGUAGUUGGAUCUGUACAUGAUAGGUUAGUUCAUCCUUUGGAUUGUAACUAAUACUAAAUGUUUUUUAUUAGAUUUUUUUACGUUUUUACGAAUGUAAAAUGUCUAAUGAGUUUACUUUGAAUAAAUCAGAGUGCUCAAAACAGGCGUAAGCUUGUAUGGUUUUGCAUGGAAUAAUAGAACAUGACUAUGGGUCAUGUUUUAUUGGUUUUUACUACCAUAGUAAUGAUUAAAGGAACAAACGGGGGCAUCCGUAUCGCAGGGCGAGAGGUGAA
This 718-nucleotide ribosomal RNA is filed under the name Nematoda environmental sample. Its description in RNAcentral is "SSU rRNA". It matches the Rfam family "Eukaryotic small subunit ribosomal RNA", at positions 183 to 915 of the family's 1831-position model. The record is from RNAcentral. Lineage: Eukaryota; Metazoa; Nematoda.